This 465-nucleotide ribosomal RNA is filed under the name Vreelandella stevensii. Its description in RNAcentral is "partial 16S ribosomal RNA". It matches the Rfam family "Bacterial small subunit ribosomal RNA", at positions 338 to 795 of the family's 1533-position model. Lineage: Bacteria; Pseudomonadati; Pseudomonadota; Gammaproteobacteria; Oceanospirillales; Halomonadaceae. The record is from RNAcentral.
CCUACGGGUGGCAGCAGUGGGGAAUAUUGGUCAAUGGGCGAAAGCCUGAUCCAGCCAUGCCGCGUGUGUGAAGAAGGCCUUCGGGUUGUAAAGCACUUUCAGUGGGGAAGAAAGCCUUGGGGCUAAUACCCUCGAGGAAGGACAUCACCCACAGAAGAAGCACCGGCUAACUCCGUGCCAGCAGCCGCGGUAAUACGGAGGGUGCGAGCGUUAAUCGGAAUUACUGGGCGUAAAGCGCGCGUAGGCGGUCUGAUAAGCCGGUUGUGAAAGCCCCGGGCUCAACCUGGGAACGGCAUCCGGAACUGUCAGGCUAGAGUGCAGGAGAGGAAGGUAGAAUUCCCGGUGUAGCGGUGAAAUGCGUAGAGAUCGGGAGGAAUACCAGUGGCGAAGGCGGCCUUCUGGACUGACACUGACGCUGAGGUGCGAAAGCGUGGGUAGCAAACAGGAUUAGAUACCCUAGUAGUC